CGAGGGAGAGGUCUUACCAGACCUCAACAAGGAGCAGUCUGCAGAUGAGGCUGAUCUAUUCCAGAUCCAUGAUGCACAUCAAGAUGAUCUUGUUGGAGUUGAGAUUACUAGAGGGCAAAACCAAAUAAUCAGCCCAGGUACUUGUCUCUUCACUUAUCUAAGUUAUUGGAGUACACCAACCUCACAGCACUGACCUGCUCUUGAUGAACACCACCUACUAGAUGGGGAGGAGAAGCCAUACGAGAAUUUAAUGUGCAGCCUGCGUAUGAUGAAGAGCCUUUCCAUUUUUCUGUUGGAGAUGAUGACAUAGCUACAGGAGAUGAAGGAAUUAGUGCAGAUGGAAAUGGUAACUUUGAUUUUUAUGGUGAUCUUUUCAAUCUCAACUUACAUGCUUCCUGUCAACCAGAUGUAGACCAUUGUAAGUGUUUUUGUUUGUAUGUAUUUUCUUCCAUAGUUUGCCUACAUGCUUUCUUAUUACUGCUUAGUAGAAAAUACAAUGGCAAACAAGUUAAGAUUCUUUCUGAGUCAUUAGGUACAUACAUGCAUGCUCAGGAAUAAAUUCAAUGUAGAGUUACUUAAUCAAAGGACUAUAUGACAUUGUACUGAAAGCUAUAGCACAUAAUCAGAUUGUACUAGACAUAAUUUAUCUCAUAUUCAAGGUUUAUUUCUUGAUGAAUUAGUGGGUCAA
RNAcentral lists this long non-coding RNA (688 nucleotides) under Setaria italica (foxtail millet). RNAcentral's name for it is "long non-coding RNA (SITA_LNC004880)". The record is from RNAcentral. Lineage: Eukaryota; Viridiplantae; Streptophyta; Magnoliopsida; Poales; Poaceae.